UAGGGAAUAGCUCAGUUGUGGAGCAUAUGCAUAGCAUGCAUGAGGUCCUGGGUUCAAUCCCCAUUGCCUUCA
Molecule: transfer RNA, 72 nt
Filed under: Camelus bactrianus (Bactrian camel)
Lineage: Eukaryota; Metazoa; Chordata; Mammalia; Artiodactyla; Camelidae
Also listed under: 2 other names
Rfam family: tRNA
About the family: Transfer RNA (tRNA) molecules are approximately 80 nucleotides in length.
Source: Rfam by way of RNAcentral